UUGGGUCAUUAUCCUGUUGGAGGACCCAUGACCUGCGACUGAGACCAAGCUUUCUGACACUGGGCAGCACAUUUCGCUCCAGAAUGCCUUGAUGGUCUUGAGAUUUCAUUGUACUCUGCACAGAUUCAAGACACCCUGUGCCAGAUGCAGCAAAGCAGCCCCUGAACAUAACCGAGCUUCCUCCAUGUUUCACAGCAAAGAAGCGAAAAUGUGCGGAGCGGUUUGGAAAUGUAUAAAAAUGGAUCUUACCCUUGUAUUUUUAUUCAUUUUUUUAAGUGUUCUUUGCGGUUCAUUUUGAUAAGCUUGUAAUCCCUGUAGUGCCAUGGUUGUUUAUCUGCUAUUUACAUUAAAAGUCCCCUAGUUCCUUA
This is a long non-coding RNA of Sinocyclocheilus rhinocerous, 368 nucleotides long. RefSeq lists it as uncharacterized. The record is from RefSeq and is a predicted model, not a curated record. The transcript has 2 exons. Lineage: Eukaryota; Metazoa; Chordata; Actinopteri; Cypriniformes; Cyprinidae.